RNAcentral lists this ribosomal RNA (307 nucleotides) under uncultured eukaryote. RNAcentral describes it as "partial 18S ribosomal RNA". It matches the Rfam family "Eukaryotic small subunit ribosomal RNA", at positions 1470 to 1796 of the family's 1831-position model. The record is from RNAcentral.
CCCUUAGACGUUCUGGGCCGCACGCGCGCUACACUGACACAGGCAACGAGCUUUCCUUUACCGAAAGGUAUGGGUAAUCUUUUGAAACUGUGUCGUGCUGGGGAUAGAUCCUUGCAAUUUUUGAUCUUAAACGAGGAAUUCCUAGUAAGCGCGAGUCAUCGACUCGCGUUGAUUACGUCCCUGCCCUUUGUACACACCGCCCGUCGCUACUACCGAUUGAAUGGCUUAGUGAGGCCUCAGGAUCCGCGCUUAAUGUGUGGAGAAUUUGGACAAACUACGUCAUUUAGAGGAAGUAAAAGUCGUAACA